Molecule: long non-coding RNA, 2370 nt
Organism: Bubalus bubalis (water buffalo)
Lineage: Eukaryota; Metazoa; Chordata; Mammalia; Artiodactyla; Bovidae
Exons: 3
Source: RefSeq, a predicted model, not a curated record
GACACGCAGGUGGUGUCUAAUCCAAGGCACUGGGCAGGGUGUGGCCGGCCAGGCUUCCUUCCCCGGAAACGGAGCUGCAGGCGGGUCUCCGAGGAUCUCGAGCGGGCAAAGGCACAUGGGUUCGGCUCGCCCAGGAGUCGCAACCCGUUUGGGGUUCCAGGCAGAUGGGCGCAGCAUCCGACAUGGGAGGGGGACCCACGCCCUCGCCUGACUGCAGGGUAGGGGUCUCGGCACACAAAGCGGACCCCGGGCGUGGAAGGAUGGAACUAGAGUGGUUCCGGAGAGCAGAACGAAAGCGCAUCGGGAUUACACCGACUUCGGGUCGUGGCAGCGGAAACCAGUGGAGACAGGGCGCCACUCACUAGCUCUAAAGGUCUAGGGUGUGACACCACUGGAAGUUCCAUAAAUGGCAUGGCAGCUCAAGAGGAUGAAGCAGUGAUGCCUCAAAGGCCCAGUGUCUGGCCCACAUCUACACAGGGAGUGGAAGAGGGUAGCAGGACCUACUCCUCAGCAGGCCAUAGGCAGCAAGUGGCCAGUGAGCUCCCACUCAGUCAAGCCUGCCCCCAGGGACACCAUCUGAGCCAGCUGAAUUCCGGGCACUGCUUCACCUUGGAAAGGAGGCCACAGCUCUCUAGAGCAGCCCGGUAAUUGACGUCACAGCAGUGCCGGGAGCGGCCCCGUUAAUAUUUAAUGAAGACUCCGCUGCGGCAGAGCUGCAGGCUAGGAGGGCUGCGGGGCCAUGCUGAGUCCCCACAGGGUCGUGAGGAGGGCACAGAAGGUAAAGUUUCCUAAACCGGAAAGCCCCCCCAUCAGAUGAGCAUCACAGCAACGAGUUUUAGUCCCCCGGCUUAACUCAGAAAGAGCCAGGGUAUCACGUGCCUGCCAUGGGACAAGGAGACUGCUGACCAAGCCCCGGCGAUAAAUGUAGGGGGAUUAGGGGCUCCCGGGGACGUUUCCUGGAGAUGGUGGGAGGACAGAGCCCUGGCGCCGACCGGUCCCAGACUCCACCCCAGGUUUGCCUUGCACAGCUGGGCAGCAGCUGCACCGCUGAGCCUCAGUUCUCUGAUCUGUGCAAUGGGAAUCAUGAUACCCUCCCCGAGAGGCUUUUGUGAGAAUUAACGGAGAUGAAUGCUGUAGAUCGGGAAGUUGCUGGUGGCUCAGUCGGUAAAGAAUCCGACAGCAAUGCAGGAGACACGGGUUUGAUCCUUGGGUCGGAACGAUCCUCUGGAGAAGGAAAUGGCAACCCACUCCUGUAUUCUUGCCUAGAAAAUCCCAUGGACAGAGGAGCCUGGAGGGCUUACAGUCCAGAAGGUCACUAACAGUCAGACAUGACCAAGAGUCUAAACCACCAGCCGUGAUAUAGAGGACCCAGCCCAGCACACAGCAGGACCUCAGCAGACAGGGUGCCUUCUCCCAAACCAGUUGUCGGGGUGUUUCAUGCAUUCAUCGGCUGGAGUGAUGUGGGAAGGGAAGAAAGAGCAAGGGGGCGAAGGAGGGGAACUUGGAGCCAGCUGUCUCGGGUUUGGACUUGUCACUGUGGUGGGGCAACGUCCCAGAGAGAUGUCAGACGGAGGAUGGACGGAGUGCCCAGGGUGGCAGGAACAGAAGGGCCCUUGUGAACUGUCUCUUGUGAUUAUCUAUCUGACCCCUUCACUCGACAGAAGAGGAUGCUGAGGGCCCCGGAGGGAGCAGACCAGCCCCGGAGGCUUACACUGCAGAGCCGGGGUCUGACCUCGUCUUUAGUCACCCACCUGAGACAGCAUCAGCUGAGGGAUUUACCCAGGGCCACCCACAUGGAGGCAGGUGACGCAACGAGAGGCCCUGUUUCCGUCCUCUGCGUCUCUGGCCUGGACAAAGCAGGGUCUCAUCAUCCCGCCCCCUUCCCGGUCUCCCGUGAGUGUGUGUUCCCACAAAUCCUGGAAGUUUCACAAAAUGUAAAUCCAACCGUGUCAUCCCCUGCGUAAAAUCCCUCUGUGGGCCCAAACUCAGGGUUGCCAGAGAGAGUGCAGGAGGCCCCAUUAAAACUGAAUUUCAAAUCAACAAGUAAUGGUUUUUAGUAUAAGAAUGUUCCACAUAUUGCAUGCCUAUAAUUAUACUUAAAAAUGUAUUUGUUGUUUAUCUGAAAUUCAAAGUUAACAGGACAGCCUGUAUUUUUUCUUUUUUUUGCUAAACCUAACAAUCCUAUGCAGACUACCUUCAGGAAAAUGCUGGAGUCUUUUAACUGGCCUCCAAGGCCCACUUUGACCCCAUUCGUGCUUAGUCACUCAGUUGUGACUCUUUGAGACCCCAUGGACUGUCACCCACCAAGAGCCUCUGUCCAUGGGAUUUUCCAGGUCAGAAUACUGGCCAUUUCCUUCUCCAGGGGAUCUC